Buteo japonicus is the source of this 2393-nucleotide long non-coding RNA. The record is from Ensembl. Lineage: Eukaryota; Metazoa; Chordata; Aves; Accipitriformes; Accipitridae.
AGAGUCCUAGCGAUUUGCAAAACGAAGAUGUGAUUUAUAGUAUUCUCUGUAUACUUUGUGGUAACUUUAUUAAUGCAGGAAGUUUAUUUGCGGUCACUAAAUCUUCAGUCAUUUAAAUCAGAUUUAAGUUGCUUUAAAAUUUAUAGGGUUUGGGAGCAAAAUUUCAGCCUCACUGAAAUCAAUGGCAAAACCACCACUGCCACUGGGAUAUGAUUUGACCUGUGAUACUUUAACAAAUAUGUCUUCUAAAAAUCUUUCUGCUCUUAAUUGCAUUCCUUUUUUCUUUUUUCCUUAAGUCUUGUGAAGACAACAAUCUGAAGACAAUGCAUCUGUGACCCCUGAUACCAGCCUGUGAGUUGGGGCGAUGGAAGUUGUAGAGGGCCGCCAGCAUACUGGUCCCGUGAUAGCUCCAAAUGGAUAUGCAAGCAGGAUUUUCCAAGCAAACAUGGAGGAAGGGAGUACUGACACACUGGAGGUCUGUGGUGCUGAGCGCUGCACCUCCAGCGAUGCAAUCUCAAAUGAACGGGAGGAAGCACCCAGGUAUAAGAAGGCGACCAAGGGCAACCGGAUCUGGAAUUUUGUUAGACGAAGGAAAGGACUCUCUACGAAUAAAGGAAGACCCCAGUCCAUGAUCCUACUGGGAGUUACCUCUGAAGUCUCAGAAUUAAAAAAAACAUCCUUCUUGGACAGGGUAAGGCCAUUAAAAAAGGGAAGAACCUCCAGGAUGCCUAAGAAUGUGGAUUUGAGAGCAUCCAGAGUUCAGGUUGCUUGUGACCCUGAGGAGGACCAUCAAGCCAGCGGGCAAAGAGCUGUCUACAGGGUUAAGAAACUGGGUGACAGUCGGAGGCCCUCCCGCCACUCAUAUGCGGGGUACAUUGACGAUUUAGAUUCUUCUUUUGAAGACAUAGAACUGAAUAUCAGCAUUCCUGAAACUGAUGCCAAUGAAAGUAAAUGUCUCAGGGAUAUUAGUGUCAGAUUACACAGUGAAGAUAAUGAUAGUAACUGCCAUAGAAUACCAGCUAGAAAGAGCGAGUCUUUGAAUUUUGAAAACUUUAAGAGUCCUGCAAUUACAGAAGGGGACAAUCAAAAGAGGUGUACUGUGCUCCCACAGGAGAGCAGAAGAGGAAGAAGCUCUGAUGUCUGGAGCUAUCUGAAAGGAAUUUCAUUAACUAGCAAAGAUAAUUCAAAGCUUCCAGAUCAAAGGGCUGAAACCAAUUUCCAGAACUUAGAAAAUAUAACUGAUCAUUCUACUCCUUAUUUCGACUUUGAUAUGAGAUGUGAGGAGAAUCUCAGCCAGCGGAAAAAAUCAAACAGUGCAACCAAAGCCACUCACUUUGGGGGUGUUGUGAGGUUCUUCACCAGUGUGGCCGAGGCGGCUCGGAGGCUGCGAGGCUCCUCAAGGGCAUUUUCACCUGAUGAGAAAAGGCCUCAGCGGAGUUUCCGAAGCUGGAGGCAGGAUGUUACCUCCCACAAGGAGGACUUGGUUAUCGAGAACGAGAGUGCGAGGGCCUUCUGCACGGUGGGAGCGUGUCUGCAGUCCCCAGAUUCAGGCACAUGGGACAAUCUGAGCUUUGAGAGUUUGGUAGGGAAGGAGCCCAUGCAGCACUGCAAAACCACAGGAGUGUCACAAGACAUUGGUUCCUCUGCCCUGGGCAGCGAGAAUGAUAGAUUUAAUGAAACAUCACUUUCUCCCUUUGGGCCAGAACCAUCCAUCUCCCACCUGCCAGAGCUUGCAGAUGACUGUUUCACUGAGGUAAAUACUAAAGACCCCUCCGAGGAUCUGAUUGACAUUCCACAGACAACUCCCACUAAACAGAUUCAGGAUUUGGGCAGUAUUCCAGAGAAGACAGAGGUUGUGGGUGGGGACCUGCCAUGUUCUCAAGGUCUUCCUGUGAAUAAUCUGGAUACUGCAGACCCGGGCCAUUCUUCAGCUGCAGAUGGUGACUUUUCUGCAGUAACCGAGGCUCUGAUCCACCUUCCACAGACAUUGCUGACUAAACUUGACACUGAGGACAUGGCAUGUGUUCCAGUGAUUGCUAAAGACAUGGAUCCAUCUCCAGCAGUGGCUCGGGAGCUUUCAAAGACAGAACUGGAUUUGCAGGACUUGAGAAAUCCUGAGCUGCCUUGGCAAGACUUGUCUAGAGGUGAGCUGGGGAUUCGAAACUCUGGGAGUACUCUGGAGAAGACACAGGCCAUGGGCAGGGACCUGCCAUGUUCCCAAGGUCUUCCUGUGAAUAAUCUGGAUACUGUGGACUUGGGCCAUUCUUCAACUGCAGAUGGUGACUCUUCUGCAGUGACCGAGGCUUUAAUCCAACUUCCACAGCCAUCGCUGACUAAACUUGAUACUGAGGACAUGGCAUGUGCUCCAGUGGUUGCUAAAGUCAUGGAUCCAU